This 109-nucleotide small RNA is filed under the name Marmota monax (woodchuck). Lineage: Eukaryota; Metazoa; Chordata; Mammalia; Rodentia; Sciuridae. The record is from RNAcentral.
ACCAGGUGUGAUGGCAUGCACCUGUAAUCCAGCUACUUGAGAGUCUAAGGUGGGAGGAUCAUUUGGGCCCAGGAGUUCAAGACCAGCCUGGGCAACACAAUGAGAUAGU